AUGCUUAUCCCAAAGACUAAGCCAUGCAUGUCUUCUGAACAAGUGAAGUAAUCUUCUCUGAAUCUGCGAACGGCUCCGCAUAUCAGUUGUAGACUCCGGCAAGCUCGCUAGUGUGCCCUACCUGUCUACCCUUCACGGGGCAAGGGGUAGGAGCAUUACUAAGCAUAUAUGGAUAACCCCGGUAAUUCUGAGGCUAAUACAUGACAUUCCUAACUACCGACUGGUGCCGUUCAGUUAGUGUCCCGCAAGGGCUCUAGCCGGCGCCUGGAGGUGGUGGGUGUGCCAGCUUAAAAAAUAACCCCUUCUUUAUGUUGGGAGAGGCGGCACGUUCUUGACUACCAUCGAAUAUGCAGCGGGCCUUCGGGCACACGUUUGCCUCUAUCGAGUCUGCAUUGGUUCGGCUAUCGCGCGUAGGAAACGAAACGCGGUAUCCUGCUGGUGUGGGGGUAGCUCUUGCAGUGUGCUCCUGACCUAUCAACCGGAUGGCAGCGUAUCGGACAUGCCAUAGUCACAACGGGUACAGAGGAUUAGGGUUUGAUCCUGGAGAGUGGGCCUGAGAGAUUGCUCAUACUUCUAAGGAAGGCAGCAGGCGCGCAACGUUCCCACUGGGCAUUGCCCGAGGGCGUUACGGGUCAUAAUAAUACCUGCCCAUUGGGUGGGUAAUUAUAAUGGGUUUGAUGUAAACAUACUUU
RNAcentral lists this ribosomal RNA (692 nucleotides) under Collaria arcyrionema. RNAcentral describes it as "SSU rRNA". It matches the Rfam family "Eukaryotic small subunit ribosomal RNA", at positions 28 to 537 of the family's 1831-position model. Lineage: Eukaryota; Evosea; Eumycetozoa; Stemonitida; Stemonitidae. The record is from RNAcentral.